CCUACGGGAGGCAGCAGUGAGGAAUAUUGGUCAAUGGACGAGAGUCUGAACCAGCCACGUAGCGUGAAGGAUGACUGCCCUAUGGGUUGUAAACUUCUUUUAUAUGGGAAUAAAAUGUUCCACGUGUGGGAUUUUGUAUGUACCAUAUGAAUAAGGAUCGGCUAACUCCGUGCCAGCAGCCGCGGUAAUACGGAGGAUCCGAGCGUUAUCCGGAUUUAUUGGGUUUAAAGGGAGCGUAGGUGGAUUGUUAAGUCAGUUGUGAAAGUUUGCGGCUUAACCGUAAAAUUGCAGUUGAAACUGGCAGUCUUGAGUACAGUAGAGGUGGGCGGAAUUCGUGGUGUAGCGGUGAAAUGCUUAGAUAUCACGAAGAACUCCGAUUGCGAAGGCAGUUCACUGGACUGCAACUGACAUUGAGGCUCGAAAGUGUGGGUAUCAAACAGGAUUAGAUACCCGUGUAGUC
This 460-nucleotide ribosomal RNA is filed under the name uncultured bacterium. RNAcentral's name for it is "partial 16S ribosomal RNA". It matches the Rfam family "Bacterial small subunit ribosomal RNA", at positions 338 to 795 of the family's 1533-position model. The record is from RNAcentral.